This 443-nucleotide unclassified non-coding RNA is filed under the name rhizosphere metagenome. RNAcentral describes it as "partial ribosomal RNA internal transcribed spacer region". The record is from RNAcentral.
GUAGGUGAACCUGCGGAAGGAUCAAUAACACGUAUCCAACGUUAAAAACCCCCCCGUGACAUGGUUGCAAUCCUGGUAAAUCAUUGCCGAACAGUUUUGAUUCAGGGACAUCAAGCACGUUAGUGUCCUGAUAAAAGAGGCGCUGCAACAGAGCUGUCAGCGAGUGGCAAGUGAGGGAGUCAGUCAGGGGUUGUUAAUGUUCAACCUGUCAUCUUGUAAGUUGAGAGUGUCUUUUGAUUUUGAACGGGUAGACCACCCCAGGUGGGUCACUGUGGCCGACACGGCCGUGAUGGGAUUCUGGCGUCGGCCUAUAGGUAGAACUAGCGCCCGACAUGACCUCUUGAAACGACAGGGGCGUAACCGGACCAAUUUUUAAUCUGCCCCUUACCUAACAGGUACUCGGGUCAAACGAACAACUGUUAACAAUGGAUAUCUUGGUUCUC